This 253-nucleotide ribosomal RNA is filed under the name uncultured bacterium. RNAcentral describes it as "partial 16S ribosomal RNA". It matches the Rfam family "Bacterial small subunit ribosomal RNA", at positions 524 to 776 of the family's 1533-position model. The record is from RNAcentral.
UACGAAGGGGGCUAGCGUUGUUCGGAAUCACUGGGCGUAAAGCGCACGCAGGCGGAUCGAUAAGUCGGGGGUGAAAGCCCGGGGCUCAACCUCGGAAUUGCCUUCGAUACUGUCGGUCUCGAGUCCGGGAGAGGUGAGUGGAAUUCCUAGUGUAGAGGUGAAAUUCGUAUAUAUUAGGAAGAACGCCAGUGGCGAAGGCGGCUCACUGGCCCGGUACUGACGCUCAGGUGAGAAAGCGUGGGGAGCAAACAGG